GCUUGUCUCAAAGAUUAAGCCAUGCAUGUCUAAGUAUAAGCAACGUUAUACAGUGAAACUGCGAAUGGCUCAUUAUAUCAGUUAUAGUCUACUUGAUAGUACCUUACUACUUGGAUAACCGUAGUAAUUCUAGAGCUAAUACAUGCAUAAAUACCCGACUUUACGGAAGGGUAGCGUUUAUUAGAUUGAAACCAAUCCAGAAAACCUGGUAUUGUGUUGAGUCAUGAUAACUGUGCGGAUCGCAAAAAUGCGAUGAAUCAAUUGAGUUUCUGCCCUAUCAGCUUUGGAUGGUAGGAUAUGGGCCUACCAUGGCAUUAACGGGUAACGGGGAAUUAGGGUUUGAUUCCGGAGAGGGAGCCUUAGAAACGGCUACCACAUCCAAGGAAGGCAGCAGG
RNAcentral lists this ribosomal RNA (395 nucleotides) under uncultured Oomycota. RNAcentral describes it as "partial small subunit ribosomal RNA". It matches the Rfam family "Eukaryotic small subunit ribosomal RNA", at positions 30 to 432 of the family's 1831-position model. The record is from RNAcentral. Lineage: Eukaryota; Oomycota.